Molecule: long non-coding RNA, 748 nt
Filed under: Cyanistes caeruleus (blue tit)
Lineage: Eukaryota; Metazoa; Chordata; Aves; Passeriformes; Paridae
Description: lncRNA (ENSCCEG00000003061.1)
Source: RNAcentral
GGGUUCGGCUGGGCCGCGGCGGCUCCCGGCGGCUGCGGGGGGGCGGGGGCCGGGCCCCGGCGGUAACCGGUGGCGGGAGGUGCUGGUGGCCGUGCGCCCUCGUAACGAAACACGCAAGUUCCAGAAGCUUCCAACUCCGCGGGGGUUGUGGUGUCGCUUCUUGGGGCCCUAGCUUAGAAACACAGAUGGUGGAUGAUGAAACUGAGACUACAGGUGAAGAAUUGCCUCCUCAUCUGCGGGAAGAGCCUCCUGAAGUGUCUCCAGAUGUCUGUGUAGAACUUGGCUUCCCUCCUGAAGUGUAGAAACAAGGUGGUAAGGACACUCUAAAAUGCAGAGGCCUCAGCUUUGAGCAUUAGGAACAGUCUGUGGCAGAGGGAUCAGCUAAGGCUCCUGCCACUCUAAAGUUAUCAAAAUGGCAAUGAAUACUCAUAGUAGGUAGAAGGCCUGAUUGCAUCAGCUCCUUUUCUCGCCAGUGUUAACACCACAAUGGUAAGCUGCCUUUAAGCAGAGGCUAAGGGAUCAUUCAUAUAUAACAGCCUAUAAAACUUAUGUAUGGUAUUUUUCCCCCCUUCAUAACAGCACAUUAUUUUCCAACCAUCCAUCAGCAUUUCUCUGGAGCUGAUUCUUGUUCAACUAAAUAGCAUCUUCCUUCUCUGGGCAGAGACCCAACUUGUUUUCCUCCUCCUUUUCUUCAUUUCUAUUCCUCACUGUACUCCAUAUCCAAUGGUAGAUAAAUAAUAACUUCAGU